Molecule: ribosomal RNA, 253 nt
Filed under: uncultured bacterium
Lineage: Bacteria
Description: partial 16S ribosomal RNA
Rfam family: Bacterial small subunit ribosomal RNA
Source: RNAcentral
UACGUAGGGGGCGAGCGUUGUCCGGAUUUACUGGGCGUAAAGCGCACGUAGGCGGAUUUGUAAGUCAGGGGUGAAAUCCCGGGGCUCAACCUCGGAACUGCCUUUGAUACUGCAAGUCUCGAGUCCGAUAGAGGUGAGUGGAAUUCCUAGUGUAGAGGUGAAAUUCGUAGAUAUUAGGAAGAACACCAGUGGCGAAGGCGGCUCACUGGAUCGGUACUGACGCUGAGGUGCGAAAGCGUGGGGAGCAAACAGG